GACGAACGCUGGCGGCGUGCUUAACACAUGCAAGUCGAGCGGUAAGGCCCUUUCGGGGGGUACACGAGCGGCGAACGGGUGAGUAACACGUGGGUGACCUGCCUUUAGCUCUGGGAUAAGCCUGGGAAACUGGGUCUAAUACCGGAUACGACUCCGCGGUGCAUGCUGUGGGGUGGAAAGCCUUGUGCGGCUGGAGAUGGGCCCGCGGCCUAUCAGCUUGUUGGUGGGGUGAUGGCCUACCAAGGCGACGACGGGUAGCCGGCCUGAGAGGGCGACCGGCCACACUGGGACUGAGACACGGCCCAGACUCCUACGGGAGGCAGCAGUGGGGAAUCUUGCGCAAUGGGCGAAAGCCUGACGCAGCGACGCCGCGUGAGGG
RNAcentral lists this ribosomal RNA (379 nucleotides) under uncultured bacterium. RNAcentral's name for it is "bacterial SSU rRNA". It matches the Rfam family "Bacterial small subunit ribosomal RNA", at positions 28 to 407 of the family's 1533-position model. The record is from RNAcentral.